Numida meleagris (helmeted guineafowl) is the source of this 648-nucleotide long non-coding RNA. RefSeq lists it as uncharacterized. The record is from RefSeq and is a predicted model, not a curated record. Lineage: Eukaryota; Metazoa; Chordata; Aves; Galliformes; Numididae. The transcript is spliced from 4 exons.
CCCGCCCGUUGCAGCACGGUCCCGUCAGCUGCCCGGCGCUUCCUUCCCGCCGCGGAGGGAGCGGCCUCGCGCUCCGCCGCCUCGUGCCUUUGGCGCCCAAACGGCCGCGCUGCGGCGCGAGGCGAUCGCCUCAGCUGUGGGCGCGCGCCGCGGCCGUUAGGUUGGUGCCGCGGUGCCCGGGCGUGAGUGCGCGGGGAGCGGAGGCCGCGGUCCGGCGGAGGCGGUUCUCUCCGGUGGUUCUCUCCCGCGGUUCUCUCCCGCGGCCCGGAGUAGAAGCGGACGCGCAACACGGCAGAACGAGCCUGGGGCCGAGCCGGCCCCUCUCACCGCGCUGGGAGCGCUCUGCCUGGGUGCUUUCUUUGCAGAUAAAAACCACCAUACAUGUGAGAGAGAAUCUAUCGUAAUGGAGAGCUGAGAAGAAGGCUGUGGGCUUCAUCAGGUCACCUGAUGAGCUCAUGAAAAUGCAACCUCUUCUCAGGAUGUGUCCUUACAUCGUAGCAUGGGCUACUAAUUAGGGAACAGAAGAAUCUGUCUUGCAGCCUAGUGAGAGGAAAAUAAAAAUGUUUCCACCUGUUAUAGAGAAGAAUAUCUGGCUUCCAAAUCAGUCCAUCAGGAAAACGGACGUUCUUCACUCCAGGGUAUUCAGAC